Molecule: long non-coding RNA, 1195 nt
Organism: Corvus hawaiiensis (hawaiian crow)
Lineage: Eukaryota; Metazoa; Chordata; Aves; Passeriformes; Corvidae
Exons: 2
Source: RefSeq, a predicted model, not a curated record
CGGGGCCGGGCGGCCCCGGGAUGGCGGCGGCUGAGGGGCGCCUCAGGGUAGGAGAGGCUUCCUUCCCACGACCAAAAUUUGCUGUGCAUCUCCUGGGCAGGACAUUUGGAUCUGCAGCCUGGAGAAUUUCAUUGUGCUGGAGCUUACGGCCUGAAACAGUCUUAGCCUCAGUAAAGCACUUCCAGAGCAGGUAAAAGUUUUGUCUGGUGACAAGAGUUGAACUUGUGGGACUUCAGGUGGUAAUUACACUACAAAACUUCCUGCUUAAUUGAGUAGAAAAUGGGAACAGUCCCCAGAACCAACUGCCAUUAAGAGACAUAGUGGUAUUAGACAUCAGUGAUACAAUUUCAGUGCCUGAAUCUUAAAACUAGAAGGGUUUUUGUAUUUAUAUAUGUAUAUCUCUUUAUUUUGAUUGCGGUAACAGAAAAGGAUUUUUUUUUUUUUUUAAUAUAUAAAGAAUGAACAAUACUCAAAGCAUUUACUUUCAACUUCCCUUGAGGAGAAAACUAGGGAUCUGUAACAGCCAGACAUUUGCUGAAUAGCCCUUUGCAGAAUUGCAAUAUCCAAGCUUGCCUCACUUCAGGUCAAUAAAUAAGAGGUAAAAACAGAUUAAACCAAACAGUUUCAAGAUAUCACUUAAAAUGUGAUGAAAUAUUUAAUGUACCAGAAAUUGAUUUUGCAAACUAAACCUUUACAACUUUGAAUGGAAACAAUGCUGGUUGUCUCUUGGGUUUAACUGCAUUCCCCCAUAUGGAUUUGUGUUUUACAAAGUUUCAGGAAAAUGUUAAUGAAUAAAAGCACUUAGAUUUACCUGAAUGUCCCUGAAAGGUUUUAUUAUGCAGCAAAUUAAUUCAACAAAUUUUUAGCCGAAUGCAUAUUUGACUACAUUUUAUGUGUAAAAUAUUCUUGAGUGACAAUUUCUAUCUAAUGAGAUUUUGAUGAGGCAGAGAGCAAAUUUUGAGAUAAAUUUUGAGACAGAGAAAAUCUGGAACCCAGUAAAUAUCCAGUGAAGGUCAGCCUUGGUGUCUCUGCUGCAUGAUUUGAGGAAGCAGUAAAGGCAUUUUGGAAAGUGAAUGUGUGUGAAGAGCCAGAUGUACAGGAACAUGGAAAACUACAUCAAUGUUUCUUUUUGUACCUUUUUUUUUUUUUAACAGAAGAAUAAACAAAGUACCAAAUGCUCAAGUUUCAAUUCCAA